GAUGAACGCUGGCGGCGUGCUUAACACAUGCAAGUCGAGCGAAGCGCUUUGACGGAUUUCUUUGGAUUGAAGUCUUAGUGACUGAGCGGCGGACGGGUGAGUAACGCGUGGGUAACCUGCCUCAUACAGGGGGAUAACAGUUGGAAACGACUGCUAAUACCGCAUAAGCGCACAGUACCGCAUGGUACGGUGUGAAAAACUCCGGUGGUAUGAGAUGGACCCGCGUCUGAUUAGGUAGUUGGUGGGGUAACGGCCUACCAAGCCGACGAUCAGUAGCCGACCUGAGAGGGUGAACGGCCACAUUGGGACUGAGACACGGCCCAAACUCCUACGGGAGGCAGCAGUGGGGAAUAUUGCACAAUGGGGGAAACCCUGAUGCAGCAACGCCGCGUGAGUGAAGAAGUAUUUCGGUAUGUAAAGCUCUAUCAGCAGGGAAGAAAAUGACGGUACCUGACUAAGAAGCCCCGGCUAACUACGUGCCAGCAGCCGCGGUAAUACGUAGGGGGCAAGCGUUAUCCGGAUUUACUGGGUGUAAAGGGAGCGUAGACGGCGAAGCAAGUCUGAAGUGAAAGCCCGGGGCUUAACCCCGGGACUGCUUUGGAAACUGUUUUGCUAGAGUGCUGGAGAGGUAAGUGGAAUUCCUAGUGUAGCGGUGAAAUGCGUAGAUAUUAGGAGGAACACCAGUGGCGAAGGCGGCUUACUGGACAGUAACUGACGUUGAGGCUCGAAAGCGUGNGGAGCAAACAGG
Molecule: ribosomal RNA, 748 nt
Filed under: uncultured bacterium
Lineage: Bacteria
Description: bacterial SSU rRNA
Rfam family: Bacterial small subunit ribosomal RNA
Source: RNAcentral